AAAAGUAGGUUAGCAGGGUAGUAGACACACACACGCGGAGCAAGAUGGCCUCCACGGCUGCUGCAGCGUCAGCAAAAAAAACGCUCAGUCUGUGUCUGUGUCUGUGUCGGCCUCGUACUCCGCUCUCGUCCCGAGAAGCGAGAGAACCCCGAGAAAUAGUGUGAACAGCGGAGAGACUGCAGGCGAGGGUGUUAGGUGGGGGGUCGGCACCCGGCCGAGUCCAGCCUGGCACCGCUAGCCACGCCAACCUGUCUGCGUCUCCGAGGCGGAGAGAUCGGGAGAAAAAUGGAAGAGAAAGAGCGCUCGUUUUUUUUAUGUUUCCACUGCCUGGCCUGCGUUGAGCGCGCGGCAGUUGAGGAGGAAGAGGCGAAUUGGAAAAAAGUGGGGAAAAUGGGAGGAAACGAAUGCCACCCUCUGGUUUUUGCGUAUGAGCAAACAUGGUAUCAGACCUACACACAGAGGCGAACGCGCCAAGCUUUGGAUUUUUUAGAACUGAAGGUAACUGGGGUACAAGGAAAAUUUGGGCAGCUUUGGUUUCUU
This is a non-coding RNA of Caenorhabditis elegans, 540 nucleotides long. NCBI's taxonomy places the organism in Eukaryota, Metazoa, Nematoda, Chromadorea, Rhabditida, Rhabditidae. The record is from Ensembl.